This 433-nucleotide ribosomal RNA is filed under the name uncultured bacterium. RNAcentral describes it as "partial 16S ribosomal RNA". It matches the Rfam family "Bacterial small subunit ribosomal RNA", at positions 29 to 507 of the family's 1533-position model. The record is from RNAcentral.
AACGAACGCUGGCGGCAGGCCUAACACAUGCAAGUCGAGCGCGCCCUUCGGGGUGAGCGGCGGACGGGGGAGUAACGCGUGGGAAUGUGCCCUUUUCUACGGAAUAGCCUCGGGAAACUGAGAGUAAUACCGUAUACGCCCUUUGGGGGAAAGAUUUAUCGGGAAAGGAUCGGCCCGCGUUGGAUUAGGUAGUUGGUGGGGUAAUGGCCUACCAAGCCGACGAUCCAUAGCUGGUUUGAGAGGAUGAUCAGCCACACUGGGACUGAGACACGGCCCAGACUCCUACGGGAGGCAGCAGUGGGGAAUCUUAGACAAUGGGGGCAACCCUGAUCUAGCCAUGCCGCGGGAGUGAUGAAGGCCUUAGGGUUGUAAAGCUCUUUCAGCUGGGAAGAUAAUGACGGUACCAGCAGAAGAAGCCCCGGCUAACUCCGUG